CCUACGGGUGGCAGCAGUGGGGAAUAUUGGUCAAUGGGCGCGACCCUGAACCAGCAAAGUCGCGUGAAGGAUGAAUGCCCUCCGGGUUGUAAACUUCUUUUAUAAAGGAAUAAAGUGAGGCACGUGUGCCUUUUUGUAUGUACUUUAUGAAUAAGGCUCGGCUAACUCCGUGCCAGCAGCCGCGGUACUACGGAGGAUCCGAGCGUUAUCCGGAUUUAUUGGGUUUAAAGGGAGCGUAGAUGGGUUGUUAAGUCAGUUGUGAAAGUUUGCGGCUCAACCGUAAAACUGCAAUUGAGACUGGCAGUCUUGAGUACAGUUGAGGUAGGCGGAAUUCGUGGUGUAGCGGUGAAAUGCUUAGAUAUCACGAAGAACUCCGAGUGCGAAGGCAGCUUACUAAACUGCCACUGACAUUGAGGCUCGAAAGUGUGGGGAUCAAACAGGAUUAGAUACCCCUGUAGUC
This 460-nucleotide ribosomal RNA is filed under the name uncultured bacterium. Its description in RNAcentral is "partial 16S ribosomal RNA". It matches the Rfam family "Bacterial small subunit ribosomal RNA", at positions 338 to 795 of the family's 1533-position model. The record is from RNAcentral.